CCUACGGGGGGCAGCAGUGGGGAAUAUUGCACAAUGGGGGAAACCCUGAUGCAGCGACGCCGCGUGGGUGACGAAGUAUUUCGGUAUGUAAAGCCCUAUCAGCAGGGAAGAAGAUGACAGUACCUGACCAAGAAGCCCCGGCUAACUACGUGCCAGCAGCCGCGGUAAUACGUAGGGGGCAAGCGUUAUCCGGAUUUACUGGGUGUAAAGGGAGCGUAGGUGGCAUGGCAAGCCAGAAGUGAAAACCCGGGGCUUAACCCCGCGGAUUGCUUUUGGAACUGUCAGGCUGGAGUGCAGGAGGGGCAGGCGGAAUUCCUGGUGUAGCGGUGAAAUGCGUAGAUAUCAGGAGGAACACCGGUGGCGAAGGCGGCCUGCUGGACUGUAACUGACACUGAGGCUCGAAAGCGUGGGGAGCAAACAGGAUUAGAUACCCUUGUAGUC
RNAcentral lists this ribosomal RNA (441 nucleotides) under uncultured bacterium. RNAcentral's name for it is "partial 16S ribosomal RNA". It matches the Rfam family "Bacterial small subunit ribosomal RNA", at positions 338 to 795 of the family's 1533-position model. The record is from RNAcentral.